GGAAAAUUAUCACAAUAUUUAAGCAAGCUGUUGAUGUUGCUUGCUGUCCACAUCGCUCCAUCUUGUUCCAGCUUGAAUCUUCGUGUCUGCUAUUGCAAACAUCGUCUGCAGCAUUUCCCAAAUGCUGGCAGUGCCCUGGCAGCAGUGCCUGGGGCAGGGCAGGUGGUCGGGCCCUUCUCUUGUCCUGCUCCUCCUUCAGCUCACUGGCCUAAAGCCGGGAUUUUAGCAGAUAUUGGGUCAUUGCUGGGUACUGCUAAGUCCUGGUUUAAAUGUCUGGCUUCCUGACUCUUAUCCCUUGCCAUUAAGGAAUAGUAAGUUUGUAGGAGCAGUGAGAGGAGAGACUGCAGGGCUCAGCCUGGUGGGGAGCAGUGGCACUGUCUCCAAACCAGUGCUGCUGCUGCAGGACCCGCGGUGCCACAACCUCACAGUGCCACCGUGAUUCAGAAGGGUGCAUUUCACCUCCCUGCCCAAGUAAUUAAGAACCUGUGCAUGGUUUGUGGUGGUGGCACAGCUGAUAAAUCGUUAGUUGUUAGCCUUUUGUAAUGGGGUUGUGUGCACCUGCUAUGAGUUAAGGUGCAUGUGCUGGGAUGUAUAAAAUAAGGGAGCACUGCAAAAUGGCCCCAGGUAUUUGCUAGUUUAGGGAGAGCCACCUUGCUUACCUGUGACACCAGAAUAUUGAUAAAACCCCAAGAUACGCUACUGUCAUUUAAUUUUUUGGGGGUGGAGGAAAGGGAUUGUAAGUGAAAGCUGCAAAGUGGUACCUGUAGUUCUUCAAGCUUUAAGUGUGCAGCCCAAGACCCUGCAGCCGACCCUCCCCGUGGGCAGUGCAUGGAGGCUUCGCUACCUGAAGGUGACCGGGAAGAGCAGGAAUUGCCUGGUCCAUUGUUCAGCUCUGCGAAUAUGCUGCGGAUCUCACCUAGUGGUGUUCCCACUGCAAAGAGCUGGAGAGAGCGGCUGAGCUGCUGCGGUGCUCCUGCCAAGUACACACUUCUACUGUUUCCAAGGACUUAUUAUACAAAAACAAAGGAAAGUCAGGCCCUGACUGCAGGAAAGGAAGCACUGGAAAAAGCAUUUAGGAGUCAUGAGGCUCCAUGGCUCUGUGCGCGUCCCCAGCCCAGCUCCUGCCCAGGAUGUUCACCUCGCCCCUCAGCCACCUGAACGGCAGCAAGUCCUGCUGCUCCUGGAUAUUUUUCCCCCAUAGGAAUUGCACAGUCGAUUCUUUUCACAUAUGCUAGAAAUAGCAAAAUGCUGAUUAUUGCUGUAGAGGCCAUGAAGAGCAUUGCCCCCCUCCAUGCAGUGGGAGCAUCCGCUCGGACUCUUGGCAGCGCACCGGGUACCUCGCUCUGUGCCGGGGCCCUCACUGGGGGAAGCUUCUGGCUGCCCAGUGGUACUGGGACUGGGUAAUGGUCCCCAGUGCAGACUGGGGAGUCCUUCCAGCCUUUCCCUGUUGUUCCUUGAAACAGAAACAGAGCCUUGAACCUUGUGUAUCGGCUGCAUUUCAACCACCACAGGUGGACCCCGUGGUCUCUGGAGCAGAAGCAGCACCUGCAGCACAGGACAAGGCUGUGUCACCCUCACAUCCCAGUGCAGGGGUCCCCGUGCACGUGUCCCUGCCUGGGUGCUGCCAGCUGAGUGACAGCCUUUUGUCAUCUCAUCGCAAAACAUCCCUGUGGUAAGGCACUGCACUCCAUUCCAGCUCCCAGAGAGGUUUAGACAUUUUUUUUUC
Molecule: long non-coding RNA, 1726 nt
Organism: Anser cygnoides (Swan goose)
Lineage: Eukaryota; Metazoa; Chordata; Aves; Anseriformes; Anatidae
Source: Ensembl